GGAGAACAUGAAAACUCUGUAGAUACAGUGACCAAGGAAUAGUCGAGCAAAGACUCUAAGGCAGCAAUGUCUGCCAUCAACGUAAAUAAAUCAUACAAGCUGUGGCCGAGUGCGGUAAUGAAACCUCGGGACUGUAGCAAGAAAUUUUGAGGUCGUCCCUUUCAUUUGUCCGAGGACAAAAAAUGAAAACAGAACUGAAAAUAACGCUCGUUAGUGCGCAUCCAUUGUGCAGGAAUUCAAAAAGAGGACUGAGGGAAAGGUUCCAUGUAGUUUCAGUGGAGCUCCAUCUCGUGGGUUGCUCACGCGCCAAAAGUGACCCCUUCUUCUGGGACACCCGGGACUUUAUGGUGACAAGAGUGGAAGGGCGGGGGCUAAAUAACUUCUCCAGAUGGCUUCUCACCACUGUGGGAAAAGAAGAAGAUGACAGUGUCAUAUCUGAACAUAGACCCUAAGGCAACAAUGUCCGCCACCAGCGUAAAUAAAUCAUAGACGCUGUGGCCGGGUGUGGCAAUGACAGCUCGGGACUGUAGCAAGAAAUUUUGGGGUCAUCCCUUUCAUUUGUUCGAGGACAUAAAAUAAAUGAAAACAGAACUCAAAACAGCGCUCGUUGGUGUGCGCCCGCCUUGCAGGAAUUCAAAAGGAGGAUUUAGGGAAAAGUUCUGUGUAGUUUCAGAGGAGCUCCGUCUUGCGGGUUGCUCA
Long non-coding RNA from Erpetoichthys calabaricus (reedfish), 699 nucleotides. RefSeq lists it as uncharacterized. NCBI's taxonomy places the organism in Eukaryota, Metazoa, Chordata, Cladistia, Polypteriformes, Polypteridae. The record is from RefSeq and is a predicted model, not a curated record. The transcript has 3 exons.